GGAGAGAUGUCCGAGUGGUUGAAGGAGGCGGUCUCGAAAACCGUUGUACGGGACUACCCGUACCGUGGGUUCGAAUCCCACUCUCUCCGCCA
This 92-nucleotide transfer RNA is filed under the name Fodinisporobacter ferrooxydans. RNAcentral's name for it is "Alicyclobacillaceae bacterium MYW30-H2 tRNA-Ser". It matches the Rfam family "tRNA". From Rfam's summary of the family: Transfer RNA (tRNA) molecules are approximately 80 nucleotides in length. Their secondary structure includes four short double-helical elements and three loops (D, anti-codon, and T loops). The record is from RNAcentral. Lineage: Bacteria; Bacillati; Bacillota; Bacilli; Caryophanales; Alicyclobacillaceae.